CCCAGACUCCUACGGGAGGCAGCAGUGGGGGAUAUUGCACAAUGGGGGGAACCCUGAUGCAGCGACGCCGCGUGGGUGAAGGAGUAUUUCGGUAUGUAAAGCCCUAUCGGCAGGGAAGAAAUUGGACGGUACCUGACUAAGAAGCCCCGGCUAACUACGUGCCAGCAGCCGCGGUAAUACGUAGGGGGCAAGCGUUAUCCGGAUUCACUGGGUGUAAAGGGAGCGUAGACGGCCAGGCAAGCCUGGAGUGAAAGCCCGGGGCCCAACCCCGGGACUGCUCUGGGAACUGUCCGGCUGGAGUGCGGGAGGGGCAGGCGGAAUUCCUGGUGUAGCGGUGAAAUGCGUAGAGAUCGGGAGGAACACCAGUGGCGAAGGCGGCCUACUGGGCUUUAACUGACGCUGAGGCACGAAAGCGUGGGUAGCAAACAGGAUUAGAUACCCUAGUAA
RNAcentral lists this ribosomal RNA (447 nucleotides) under uncultured bacterium. Its description in RNAcentral is "partial 16S ribosomal RNA". It matches the Rfam family "Bacterial small subunit ribosomal RNA", at positions 330 to 793 of the family's 1533-position model. The record is from RNAcentral.